UAGUCCAAGCGGUAAACGAUGGGUACUAGGUGUCGGGGGUAUCGACCCCUCCGGUGCCGGAGCUAACGCAUUAAGUACCCCGCCUGGGGAGUACGGUCGCAAGAUUAAAACUCAAAGGAAUAGACGGGGACCCGCACAAGUGGUGGAGCAUGUGGUUUAAUUCGAAGAUACGCGAAGAACCUUACCUAGCCUUGACAUAUUAAAGAACACUUUAGAGAUAGAGUGGUGCCUUCGGGAGCUUUUAUACAGGUGCUGCACGGCUGUCGUCAGCUCGUGUCGUGAGAUGUUGGGUUAAGUCCCGCAACGAGCGCAACCCUCGUCACUAGUUACUAACGGUUCGGCCGAGGACUCUAGUGAGACUGCCUUCGCAAGGAGGAGGAAGGUGAGGACGACGUCAAGUCAUCAUGGCCCUUACGGCUAGGGCAACACACGUGCUACAAUGGCCAGGACAAUGAGAAGCGAUACCGCGAGGUGGAGCAAAUCUAUAAACCUGGUACUCAGUUCGGAUUGUAGUCUGC
RNAcentral lists this ribosomal RNA (518 nucleotides) under uncultured bacterium. RNAcentral's name for it is "bacterial SSU rRNA". It matches the Rfam family "Bacterial small subunit ribosomal RNA", at positions 791 to 1308 of the family's 1533-position model. The record is from RNAcentral.